AUCAAGAGACUUUAUGAAACAGCUUUGUUCAGCAGGAGGUGGACCUGUAGAUAAAUAACUGCAGAACCUCUGGGCAGUGGGCAGGACCUUGAGAAGGAAUCAAUGGAAGCUACUUGCGAGGAGGUGGCAACUAGGGCCUCACCUGUUAUUCAUUGCAAGGACUUAGAUUAUUAUUAAAAGUUAUCUUCCUGAAUGGAAGCCAGAGAGUCAGGGGGCAGGGAUCUAUUUUUGUCUCUCUUUGGGUCUCUAGCAUGCCUGGUACAGUGCCUGUGGUCAUUAACCAAAAUCCGUUUGGAAUGGAAUCAUAUUUAAUUGUGUUGUAUUAAUUCUUUGACUUG
This 338-nucleotide long non-coding RNA is filed under the name Bos taurus (domestic cattle). RNAcentral describes it as "long non-coding RNA NONBTAT017527". The record is from RNAcentral. Lineage: Eukaryota; Metazoa; Chordata; Mammalia; Artiodactyla; Bovidae.